CUUCUGUGCGCAGCCGCCCCUAUCUCUUCCACUCGCCCCCUUGAAACGGCAGCCACAAAUGCACAUAAAAAACGCAGCAUUUAUCGCCUCUCAUUUCCUCCCCAUCACCUUGCAAGUGCGGAAUAAAGUGCUAAAUUUAACUGGGCAGCGGCUGCCUUCGUCUUUAAAAGGAUGCCUGCACUGCCAUCAUCGUCGACCUGUCCGCGUCCUACUCUCGGAACCGGCCUGGCGGCCUCCACUCUGGCUCUCCUCUUUAGAAAAGUUCAUUGCUUCAGUAGUCCAGCCAGUGAACACAUGGACAACAAAUCAAAUACAUAUGAUAGGAAGUAAGCAAGGAAAGAUCAGAAGAUAUUUUUCGCAGUCCAUUGUACAAACCACACACUCGAAGAUUGUGCCCUUUGGGUAAAAAAAAGAUUAUGCUUUCAAGUGUUACUUGGCUAGGUUGAUGUUUCAUAUAAUCCAUCACUUGGGGUUUCUAUGUAUGAAUCUGUGAGUAUUGUAUCAUAUUGUGACAAGAGGUAUUCAUCCAUAACAAACAAGUACUCAGGGUCUAUCAUGCUUAAACUUUC
Molecule: long non-coding RNA, 569 nt
Organism: Triticum aestivum (bread wheat)
Lineage: Eukaryota; Viridiplantae; Streptophyta; Magnoliopsida; Poales; Poaceae
Exons: 2
Source: RefSeq, a predicted model, not a curated record